UUAAGAGUAUGCAACACUUAGAUUAAUUACAUACAAGACAAUAAAAUAAAGACUAAGACAUAAAGAACUUAUGGACAUUGUCCUCGAAUCGAUGAAGACUCACAACUACAUCAUCUUCAAAGUUGUAUCAACAUAUCCAUCCUCUUUGGCACAUAAAGACUUCCAAUUCCCUACACUUUAGUCAAAAAGGGAAACGAAGGGGUUAGCACAUUAGAUGUAUUAAGUAUGGAAGCAAUGCAAAAACCAUAAAAAAGGGUCAUUUAGUAAAUAUCAUGUUUUUAUGAAUAUUGAUUAAAACAUAAUACUAUAAGCAUAAGAACAGUAUUUGAGAACUUAGAAACACACAAGAAAUCAUUUAAGCAAAAAGCAACAUUUUAGAAAACAUUACAGUGAAUUCGCUUCACUGUGCAGUUAACUCAAUUCACUAUUACAUUAAAGGUCCUUCACUUUACUUUACACAUCUUCUAGUAUGUAAUUAUCUCACUUAAAGCUAUCCUAAGACUCAUUUAAGUCACACAAAGAUAGACCGCCCAUACAACCUACCUAGGCAUGCUUAAAUAAUCCUAAAGAAUACUUAUGACGAGUCACAUACACACUUACAAGACAUCAACAUAUCAACAUAUAGAUAAUAUGACAUUUCCUCAUACAAGGCUAUCAAAGACUUACUUAAGUAGAUCAAAAAGAUAAUUUCCAUGAUUGACCUCUUCAAGACUACCUAAAUAAUCCUUAAGACUACUUAUUUUUGGGUCAUAUCCACAUAAACAAUUAUCCUCCCUAACUAGAGUCAUUCUUAAGACUUAUCUAGGAAAGAUAAGAAGUGACCAUUCAUAUGCCCCUUCAUGCCAAAACUAGUCAAUCCUUAACUACUCUAGAUAAGUACUGAUUCAUUUUAACAUAAUUUCUUAACUGAAGUCAUUACGUUCAUUAGUUCAUUUAAGACUCAUUCAUCACAUGAAGGACAUUCAAGUAAUGGUCUUCGAUAAGACGUAGGGACUUCAACUAACAUCUUCAAAGCCUAUUGUGCAACGUCAGAUAGCGUCUCAUACCACACCCUAAACUUCAUAGAACUUCUCUAAUGCUAGUAGGUAUCCUAUAUGAUGAUAAUGGGAAAUAACCGACAUAGACCAUGGUAGCAAAACUUGGAAUCCGGAGUUCUAACUUACUCCGAUUAGGGUGUUCUACUUGCCAAUGGUAGAACUAGGACACACCCCAUGUAGGCACAUGGUUAAGGAAUGUAAAGGGUGUACUUUGUAUUCUAGUCUCAUUCUGAACUAGAAGUACUUCCCUUACCAUUCUCACUCGGUGCUAGCAUUUUUUCUCAUAGAGAAAUUCGCAUUAAAGGUUCAUACAAUUGCAUUCCAUAUCUAGUUCAUAACCCAAUAACAUUUAACCUACAAAAGAGGUCCUCUAGAGCCACUUCCAAUGGAGACAAGAACUUUAUGAUGACUUUCCAAAGGAUUAAUAUGAUGUCGUUCCAGCUAAUUAACCUUAAAUCAAACAUUCCUUUACUUAAAGGAUACCAUUACGUCUUUUGACUUCAACAUUCAUAACCUUACCACUAGGUUCAAUAUUUGACAUAAGAUACCCUCUUAACAUCAUUCAAGGUCACAUAUCAUUCAUACAUUCAAGACAAAGAGGAUUUUGCAUCCUAAGUCAUGACAUCACAUAUUCACUUUCAUACAUACAUCAAGCAAGGGAUACAAGUCAACCAAGAGAAAACACCAUGUACUUCACUUGAAAACAUAUUACAUGUCAUUCUUAAGUCACUUAGGAAUAACAAUACUUAGGAACCCUAAGGUAUUUUAAGGAUUUUUGUUGAAGCCAAGAGAGAACAAGAGAGAAACUUAAGAAAUCUGAAAAAAAUUGCAAGUUUAAAAUGGAGCAAAAGAUAUGAUCUUUAUCCCUUUAAAAGGGAGGUGUAAUGGUAGACUUUCUUGGCCAAUUUUAGGCCAUAUAUUUUAAAGUAGGUGACCCACCUACUUGACGUUUUAACUUGGGCCUUUGGGGAUGCAAAACUUGUUGGGCCUUGCUGCAAAUUCAUCCUCUAUCCUUGUGAAUUUUGGUCUCUGCUGUAUCACUUUGACUUUUUCCAAAGAAGGACAAGGAUGAUGAUACCGGUAAGUUAUAGAUUUAUCUCUUUUGUUAUGGUGGGUUACUUUUAAAUGGGGGAGUAUGGCAAGUAGUGGAGUUAUGAUUUUUUGUUUCUUCUCUUCUAUUCAAUUCAAGCUUGAGAGAUAGAAUGUCAUAAAAGCAUGUUGCAUGUUGCAUUUUGUUUAGGAGGCUUGUUGGAAAUGAAUUUCAUUGAUUCCUUGUAUUUUGCACUUCAUGAAGUUACAAUUAUGUUGUAAAAUGGGUUUAUAUGGUUUAAUCUCUCAUAUUGUCCAUCUUCCAUCGGAAACUGCUUAAAUGUUGCAUUAUUGAAUGAUUUAGAAUAAUCCACUGUAGGUUAUGGUAGUUCAUCAUAAGGACUUUUGAAUUUGACUAAAUUCUGUUUUUAUUUAAACUUGUUAUAAUAUGUAUAUAAUUGAUGUGUAUGAGCAUGAUAAUGUGUGGAGAAGGAGUUCUUCCUAUUAGAAAUGAAGAGUGUGAGUCUGAUUGCAUAAUGUUUUAAAAGUAGUUUCUAUCUUCUUAUUGUGUUUAGAGUCUCCUUAUUAUAUGAAAGUUGUGUUCAUGCUAAUUGUGUAUUCUGUAUGGUGUGGUAUAGUUAUGUGUUUCUAGUCUUGAAUUUCUUGUCUCUUGAAUGUGUUUAAAUGAAGCAAGUGUCAUUCAAUGACAAAUGUUGUCGAAGUGGGGGAUAUUGUAACUCCCCUAAAAAUAAAAUAGGUGAAACUAGAGCCUAACACGUGUUUCAUGAGGUUUUAAAAUCCUAAAAUGGUUUAUAAUUAUGUUUAUAGGCAGUGUCUGAAGUUUGGUGAUGUUUGGAGGUCAAACAUCCAAGAAUGUCCAAGACGUUCAAAAGUUUUGCCUUGAGACGUGCUUGUGUGUCCUAGCGUCUUGGCAUAUUUUAUGUGUUUUUUGGUGUUCAUUGAUUUGGUAGGUUCCUAACAUGUAUACGAGAGUAUUUGAGGUGUAAACAUCCUAGUACAACUACCCAAGGACUGCCAUGGGGGUCUUUGAGAAUGACCAAGCCUUGAGUGAGCAAAAUGGCAUUGGUGGAACCACUCUACGUCGUGGACUUGGUUCAUCAAGGGCAAAAAGUUGCUCCGCAUCACGUACUUAUUUCCCAACAAAUGUUUUGGAAAUUUAAGUUGUGUUUGACUUUGUUAAAAGGUCCAAUAAGGGCAGGGGUCUUUUGUGUAUUUUGGGGACUAGUUAUUGGUGGUUAUUAAGACUUUUUAAACCCCAAUUCACCAUUCAAAUCAAAACCCUCAAGUCCUAAACAAAACCUCUCCAACUCAUCUCUCCAAAAACCUCCAUUGAUGAAGAUUUGAAGCUCCAAGGAAGAAGAAUGAUUUUCAAAGAUUUUCUCCAUCAAUUUAAUAGGUUUUUCUUCACAUUUAAGGUAUGGAGUUUCAUCCUUGAAUCCUCUUUAUUCAAGGAGUCAAUUUCAAUUGUUUUCAAAGAUGAUAAAAGAACAUGAAAUCUUGUAUUUUUAAUUCUAGCCAUGGGUUGUUGCAUGAAAUGUUUUCAAUGAAUGAAUAAAUAUUGAAUUGAUGUUAAUUUUAUUAUUUUGGAUCAAAAAGACCACGAACCUAUGCAAAUCAUGAUUUCCUUAUUUUGACUAUUUUAUGGGUGAUCUGAUCAUGUCUCAAUAUUAUUGAAUUCUUAUGUAGAUCGUAUUAGGCUAUUGAUAUAUGUAUGAAUUAUGUUAGAAUUGUAUAUAGGCUGCUUUAAUUUGAGGAUUUUCAUAUUGGAUCUUCUUGGAUCAUUGUAUAUUGUGACUAUUGGAUUGAAUUGGUGACGAUGGGUAUUGGUAAGAAUCUUGGUGUAUUGGCUUGGUUGAAUUGGCUAUGGAUUGGAAUUGUUGAUAUUGAAUUGGUGGUAUGUUGACCUAAACCUUACUUUGUAGUGUAGGUGUUUGAAUUGUAUUGAUUGUUAUUGUCCACUUAUGGUGGCGUUGCUUAUAUGCUAUACUUGUGAAUAAUGUGGUCUCGUCGAAAUCACUUUAUGAAUUAUGAUAUUAUUAUUUUAUAACCUGAAUAUGUGAGGAAUGUGAAGGUCUUGAUGACUUGUAUAUGUGAAGUCAAAGUAUGUGUUCUUCUAAGUUAUUACAUGUGAUCAUCAUUGGCUAUAAUGAUGCCUUGUGUUUCUGUACUUGACUUUGAAGUAUGAAUCUUCCCAGUUGACUAUAUGAUCAUUAGGAUGAGUUAUGUUGAUGAUUCUAUAUAAGUGUGUUGGGUGACUUGCAAGUAUACUAAUUUCUCUCUGUGCUUCUUUAAUGAUAUGUUAUAUGUGAUAAUGGAAAGUAUAUGGUUCUUGUUUUGGUAGACUUGUAUCCCGUACUUGAUACAAGAAGAAUGUGAAUGUGAAUCCUUGACUUAGUAGGCUAAAGAACCUUUGUCAUGAACGUAUAUGUAUGAAUUGAAUAUGAUCUUAAAUAUUGUAAGGAAGGUCAUUUAUGUGGAACCUUUAUGAAAGAAGGUUAUGAUAUCCUUGAAAUUGGAAGUCGUAAUGGUAUCCUUCUUGUGUGAAUGGUGGACUUAGGGUUGAUUGGCUGGAAUGGCAUGAAAUCAUUCAAAGGAAAGUCAUUUAUCUAUCCUCUUAACCAUUGUAAGGCAUUCCUAGGGAACCUUCUUUGUAAGGUGUAGUAUGAUUUGGUCAUGAAAAAGAUAUAGUACCUUCAUAUGCUCCUUUAUUGAAUUGCUCUAUCAGAACAAACGUAGCAGCGAGCGAUUAUGCUAGGUGAGUUUCUCUAGAUUUAUUAUGAGGCUAGAGUACAAAUAAACCCUUAAUAUUCCUUAACAUGUGCCUACAUGGGUUGUGUCCUAGUUCUACCAAUUGUAAGUAGAAUACCUUUUAUCGGAGUAGGGUUGACUCUGGAUUCCAUGCCUAACUAGUAUGGUCUAUGUCGGUUAUUGCCUAUUCUUAUCAUGUGGAAUAUAUGAUAGUAUUGGAUAAUUACUAUGAAGUUUACAUAGUGAAAUGAGACGCUAGGUAGACAUUGCACGACUAGGCUUUGAAGAUAUUAGUGUAUGAGUUCCCUAGGUCUUCUCCAAGACCAUUUUGUGAAAGUCCUUAAUUGUUGAAUGUCUUUUAAAUGAUAUAAUGACUUAAAUAAAGGUAUGUUAAUGAAAAAUUAUCUAUAUAGAUUAGCUUUGAGGAUUUCUUAGGUACGCUUGGAGAGGGUGUAUGGGCGCUCUCUCCAUGUCUUACUUAGGUGACUCUUAUAGUAAUUCUAGGUACGGAGUCUAAUUAUGAAAUGGGAAUAAUCUUAUCUUCUAUAGUCUAAAGGAUCGCUUAUGUGUGUGUGAAGGGAUUGUAUGGGAGGUCGCUUCAUAACUCACUCAAGUGAGCCUUAGGAUCACCUUUGGUAGGAUGGUCUCAUGUUUAUGAGUUUCUAAUGUAUUCUUUAUGUUAUAUUGUGGAUUGUGACUUAUAUGUGAAGUUGGUAUUAUAUGUGGUUCGUAUAAUUAUGAUACGAAAUUUUUCUCAAAAAGACCAUAUUUUAUUCAAAUGUUCCUUUCAUCAUAUUUUACGCACUACGCGAUACUUAGUAUAUGCAAUGUACUAAUUCCAUAAAUUUUUCUAUCUCUAAAGGUAUUGGUGGUAUUUAAGAGGAGUACGUGAAGUGAAGCUUUGAUACUAUCCUUUGAUUCAAACAAGUGUUGGAAUUUCCUCACUAGAUUCAAGGACAUCAUGAUGUUUAGAUUUCCUUCUUAAAAGCAUUGCAAUAGACUUAGUAUUUCUAUAUCGUAUUGUAUGGGCCGUGUCCCAUGAUGUUUGUGUGUCUAUGAUAGCGACAUUGAGACUUAUCCUUAAUCAUUAUGUUUUCUAUGAAAGAUAUUUUGAUAUAUUAUUCGUGCAAAGAAUUUAAAUUUCAUGCUGCUUUUCACACAUAUAUGCAAUGAAUUAUGUCUAAGGGAUUGUAAAAGACCUCCGAAAGGUCAAGUACGUCGUAUGACGACUCAAUAGUGCCAUAAAUUUUAUUGGGUACUUAGGCUUGUUACAGCGAUCACAAACAGUUACAAUGCAAGUACAAUAAACCCUUCUAGCUAUAAUAGACUCACCAAUCAGUGUAGACACUUCAAAUGGAUUCACUAAUAAUUUUGGUGUUCUUUUGAACUUUUUACCAAUCAAUGGAGUAACAUAUCAUAGUGUAAACCGCGUAUCAACUAAUACAUAUACAAUAUGUGAAAAGAUGGACAAUGUAACUAUAACCACAUCUGACGAGGUUUCUGAAUUCUGUCGAUCCACUAGUGAAUAUGUGUGAUUCUGAACUCCACUAGAACUAGUAUCUCCCCUAGGUCCUCCACCGAGACAUGUAUUAUAUUUAGUCCUCUACCUAAAUAAAGCGUUGAUGAGGUCGAUGCAACAACAGAUCUAGUCAGUUGUGCAACACCACCCAUGCCCCUAUGAGGGCAGGUUCUCAUCAUAUGCCCUGGUGUGCCACACCAAAAACAAACAUCUGUACCAAACCUGCAUACACCUAGAUGAUUCCUCCCACAUUGUUUACAAGGUUGUCAAGGAGUCCUUCAUUGGGUCGUAAUUCCCUGCUCUUGAUGAUCAGCUAUUUUUGAACGUUGGCUUUCACUUCUUUUCCCAAACUGAUUGCCCCUAAACCUUUGGAACCGUAGUGGAGGACUAGCUAUAGAUUAGAAAGAUGAUGGCUAGGAGGUAUGUUAAAGAACCGAGGCCUAAACUCACCUUGGAUUAGGGUAAAAUCUCCCAUGGAUCAGGCCCUCUUAGAAUGCCCUAUUUCCGACUCUUGUGUCCUUCUUCAUUGCCUUUGAUCCUCCAACUUUUGUGCAAAAACAUGCAUCCUUGCUAUAUCCAUAUCUUUUUUUUUCAACGAAGCAAUGAUACAGUCUAUAACUAGAUAUGAAUCAAUCUAUCCACAUAUCUAUGAAUUUUACCCUCCAUAAUACGUACUACAUUAGGAGCAUACUUGGCCAAGGAAUUAAAUUUGAGACUGGACUCUCUCACACUCAUAUUUCCUUGGUGGAGAUUGAAGAACUGCUUUGCACGUGUAUCUUGGAUCUCCAAUGGCAAAUAACGGUCAAGAAAUGCUUUUUUAAAUUUUUCCAUCAUUUGUUCCCAUAGAUUUCUUCCAAGCUUCAUACAACAAUAUGGCCACACCCUUUAAUCUAUAUGCAGCUAGCUCAAGUACUUCUUUACCACUUACAUAUAUAAUAUCAAAAGUGUGUUUGAUCUAAUCUAUAAAGUCUUAUGGAUCUUCAUUAGGAACUAAGCCGGUGAAUGAUGGAGGGUCCAUGUUAAGAAAAAUAGGUUUCCGCGUUCUAGCUUUUCAAUCUAAACCACUAGUACCUACAACUGGAUUUUCUUUCCUUUGGCCAUGACCAGCGACUAUACGAGUCAAUAAUUGGACUAUAUUCCUCAAAUCUUACUCGGUAGCAUUAAUAGGGGGUUCCUGAGGUUCAACUUCCCUAUUUAAUUCUUCAGGAGAUGGAGGCGUCAGGGAAGUCUGUGAUAGAGACUCAUCUCAAGCCUCUCUUUGUACAACUUGACUAGGUAGUGGUUGGCUGGUUCCUUCUUGGGCUUCCAUAUCUACUCUCUUACCAGUGCCUUAACUGUCUCUCUCAAUCAACAUCAUUGCUAUAGUAAAACAAUUUAGAAAUUAAAUAUAAUUCACCUACGAAAUCGGUUCUAUCGCACGAUCUAUGAAAUGAAAGAAAUGAGACAACUCCUACAUUUCUCCUAGCCUCUUGUUUAUAAAUGUAGUGCACAAAACACACAUAAGAAAGACUCUACACACACACGACUUAGUAGACUCCUCCGGAUGACUUGCUUUGUUACCGCUUAUGUAACGCCUCAAAUCCCAUUAAGACGUACAUGAGCGCGAUGCCCUAAAGGCAAGAGACAACCAACCUGUCACUUCUGCUUACUAUGCAUGUAACUACAACAAUCGUGAGACAAGUUCACAUAGGAUGUAGCGAUAUGAACCAACAUAAGUAGACCCAAAACUUAUAUACAAGACUUGGUUGUUGGGGCCACAACUCUUUAAGACGCAAUUGAACGUAUACAUAUGUCCCCAAAACCUCUAAAAUGUAGAAAACCUUAAAAUAGGUUGGGACAGAUCCCGCCCCCUUAAUUAUGAUACAAUACAAAAUAGAAUUUAGAAAGCACUUAGUAAAGCUCUGAAUAACCUUGGAGCUCACCAAAAGUAGCUGGGUGUCGUCUACUCCUACUGAGGAGGUCUACUAGCUGGAGUACCU
Molecule: long non-coding RNA, 8333 nt
Filed under: Solanum lycopersicum (tomato)
Lineage: Eukaryota; Viridiplantae; Streptophyta; Magnoliopsida; Solanales; Solanaceae
Description: long non-coding RNA (SLYC_LNC001012)
Source: RNAcentral